RNAcentral lists this transfer RNA (98 nucleotides) under Thielaviopsis punctulata. RNAcentral's name for it is "Ceratocystis radicicola tRNA". It matches the Rfam family "tRNA". From Rfam's summary of the family: Transfer RNA (tRNA) molecules are approximately 80 nucleotides in length. Their secondary structure includes four short double-helical elements and three loops (D, anti-codon, and T loops). The record is from Rfam by way of RNAcentral. Lineage: Eukaryota; Fungi; Ascomycota; Sordariomycetes; Microascales; Ceratocystidaceae.
GGGGACAUGGUCUAGUGGUAUGACGGAUCCUUAGCAUACCUGAAGCUUCUGCUUCAAUCGCUUGGAUCAGGUCCGGGGUUCGAUUCCCCGUGUCUCCA